AACGAACGCUGGCGGCAUGCCUAACACAUGCAAGUCGAACGAGACCUUCGGGUCUAGUGGCGCACGGGUGCGUAACGCGUGGGAAUCUGCCCUUGGGUUCGGAAUAACAGUUAGAAAUGACUGCUAAUACCGGAUAAUGUCUUCGGACCAAAGAUUUAUCGCCCAGGGAUGAGCCCGCGUAGGAUUAGCUAGUUGGUGAGGUAAAGGCUCACCAAGGCGACGAUCCUUAGCUGGUCUGAGAGGAUGAUCAGCCACACUGGGACUGAGACACGGCCCAGACUCCUACGGGAGGCAGCAGUGGGGAAUAUUGGACAAUGGGCGAAAGCCUGAUCCAGCAAUGCCGCGUGAGUGAUGAAGGCCUUAGGGUUGUAAACUGCUUUUGUACGGAACGAAACGGUACCUUUCUAAUACAGGGGGCGUAAUGACGGUACCGUAAGAAUAAGCACCGGCUAACUACGUGCCAGCAGCCGCGGUAAU
RNAcentral lists this ribosomal RNA (477 nucleotides) under uncultured bacterium. RNAcentral describes it as "bacterial SSU rRNA". It matches the Rfam family "Bacterial small subunit ribosomal RNA", at positions 29 to 524 of the family's 1533-position model. The record is from RNAcentral.